AGUGGCGGACGGGUGAGUAAUGUCUGGGAAACUGCCUGAUGGAGGGGGAUAACUACUGGAAACGGUAGCUAAUACCGCAUAACGUCGCAAGACCAAAGAGGGGGACCUUCGGGCCUCUUGCCAUCAGAUGUGCCCAGAUGGGAUUAGCUAGUAGGUGGGGUAACGGCUCACCUAGGCGACGAUCCCUAGCUGGUCUGAGAGGAUGACCAGCCACACUGGAACUGAGACACGGUCCAGACUCCUACGGGAGGCAGCAGUGGGGAAUAUUGCACAAUGGGCGCAAGCCUGAUGCAGCCAUGCCGCGUGUAUGAAGAAGGCCUUCGGGUUGUAAAGUACUUUCAGCGGGGAGGAAGGGAGUAAAGUUAAUACCUUUGCUCAUUGACGUUACCCGCAGAAGAAGCACCGGCUAACUCCGUGCCAGCAGCCGCGGUAAUACGGAGGGUGCAAGCGUUAAUCGGAAUUACUGGGCGUAAAGCGCACGCAGGCGGUUUGUUAAGUCAGAUGUGAAAUCCCCGGGCUCAACCUGGGAACUGCAUCUGAUACUGGCAAG
Molecule: ribosomal RNA, 550 nt
Filed under: uncultured bacterium
Lineage: Bacteria
Description: bacterial SSU rRNA
Rfam family: Bacterial small subunit ribosomal RNA
Source: RNAcentral